GUUCGUAAGGAAUUUGACAUUGACUUUAUAACAAUGGCGUUUAGUGGCGGACUGGUGAGUAACGCGUGAGCAACCUGCCUAUUAGAGGGGAAUAACAGUGAGAAAUCAUUGCUAAUACCGCAUAUGCCAUGAGUAUCGCAUGAUACAAAUGGGAAAGGAGCAAUCCACUAGUAGAUGGGCUCGCGUCUGAUUAGAUAGUUGGUGGGGUAACGGCCUACCCAAGUCGACGAUCAGUAGCCGGACUGAGAGGUUGAACGGCCACAUUGGGACUGAGAUACGGCCCAGACUCCUACGGGAGGCAGCAGUCGGGAAUAUUGCGCAAUGGAGGAAACUCUGACGCAGUGACGCCGCGUAUAGGAUGAAGGUCUUCGGAUUGUAAACUAUUGUCGUUAGGGAAGAAAAGGACAGUACCUAAGGAGGAAGCUCCGGCUAACUACGUGCC
RNAcentral lists this ribosomal RNA (442 nucleotides) under uncultured bacterium. Its description in RNAcentral is "bacterial SSU rRNA". It matches the Rfam family "Bacterial small subunit ribosomal RNA", at positions 60 to 509 of the family's 1533-position model. The record is from RNAcentral.